GUAAUGUGUCUGUAAUGUGUCUGUAUCUCUGUAAUGUAUCUCUGUAAUGUGUCUGUAUCUAUAUAAUGUAUCUCUGUAAUGUGUCUGUAUCUAUAUAAUGUGUCUGUAUCUCUGUAAUGUGUCUCUGUAAUGUGUCUGUAACUCUGUAAUGUGUCUGUAUCUCUGUAAUGUGUCUGUAUCUCUGUAAUGUAUCUCUGUAAUGUGUCUGUAUCUCUUCUGUAUCUCUGUAAUGUGUCUGUAAUGUGUCUGUAUCUCUGUAAUGUGUCUGUAAUGUGUCUGUAUCUCUGUAAUGUGUCUGUAUCU
RNAcentral lists this long non-coding RNA (303 nucleotides) under Salmo salar (Atlantic salmon). RNAcentral's name for it is "lncRNA (ENSSSAG00000102976.1)". The record is from RNAcentral. Lineage: Eukaryota; Metazoa; Chordata; Actinopteri; Salmoniformes; Salmonidae.